This 258-nucleotide ribosomal RNA is filed under the name uncultured bacterium. Its description in RNAcentral is "partial 16S ribosomal RNA". It matches the Rfam family "Bacterial small subunit ribosomal RNA", at positions 96 to 354 of the family's 1533-position model. The record is from RNAcentral.
UGGCGGACGGGUGAGUAACGCGUGGAAAACCUGCCGUAUACUGGGGGAUAACACUUAGAAAUAGGUGCUAAUACCGCAUAAGCGCACAGCUUCGCAUGAAGCGGUGUGAAAAACUCUGGUGGUAUACGAUGGUUCCGCGUCUGAUUAGCUAGUUGGUGGGGUAAUGGCCUACCAAGGCAACGAUCAGUAGCCGGCCUGAGAGGGUGAACGGCCACAUUGGGACUGAGACACGGCCCAGACUCCUACGGAAGGCAGCAG